This 90-nucleotide small RNA is filed under the name Klebsiella pneumoniae. RNAcentral's name for it is "partial RtT sRNA". It matches the Rfam family "RtT RNA", at positions 1 to 88 of the family's 130-position model. From Rfam's summary of the family: This family represents a bacterial cis-regulatory element known as RtT RNA. The exact function of RtT is unknown although it is thought that it may be involved in changing the cellular response in relation to amino acid starvation. The record is from RNAcentral. Lineage: Bacteria; Pseudomonadati; Pseudomonadota; Gammaproteobacteria; Enterobacterales; Enterobacteriaceae.
UAUUCUGCCCCAUGGGGAAGGAUGAGAAGCUUCGACUAAGGUUCGACUCGAGCGCCAGCGAGAGAACGUUGCCACAGGCAACGGCCCGAA